AUCUCAUUGAGGUUGCAAUAGCACUGACACUUAAAGUUAAGUGUUUUCUUGCUUGGUCUUAGCACUCUAGCCAAAUGGAUUUUGAGGGCCUCCUAUUCAUGGGUCACAGCUGCUUGACUCAAGGAUUUUUGCCUAUGCAUGCCCUGACAGUCAGAUACUAACUCACUUGGAUGCCUGCCUCUCACACUGCUCUACUUUAUGAAGUCAAGACCAUUAAUAAAAUCCAGUUUACAGAAAGGCCUAGAGAAGGUUAUUUCUCUGAACACUUCGCUGUACCUACUUCCAUAACAGAUGAACUUACCAGAUGUAACAGAAGCGGUUCUUCUGUUCUCGUGGAAGAUGAAGUUGUCCUUUGUUUUGAUGAGUCCUGAAGGACUUAAAGGCUCCACUGGCAGACAGCAGAGAAGGGGAGAAGAGGAGAAGCAGCUGGACAUUGAAGACUCUGGUUUGACAUAAGAGAGAAGCAGCUUCACUUCAGAGGGACAACUUGACAUUGGGACAUCAGGGGAAGAAUGCCUUCUUCCUACUCCAUCCCCUUUCCAGCUCCCCCUCUCACUGAGAGCCACUUCCAUCAGCAAUAAAAUCCCCCACAUUUACUAUCCUUGAAUUUGUGCAACCUGGUUUUUCCUGGACACCAGACAAGAGCUUGGGAUACAGAAAACUGUCACACUAACCAUCUGCCCUCAUGAAAAGGCAGAGGGUCCACUGAGCUAUUAAACACUGAAGCUGUCUGCAGACAGCAAAGCUAAAAGAGCACUGUAACACACUCCCUCUGGUGCUUCAGGGGUAACAGGUAGUCCCGUAGACACCGCCAUCAGGCUACACGGAGUUUUGCUCCUUCCAGUACCCAAAAGCACUCACUCCAGCUUCUGCACCUGCUCACCUGCAUGCUCCCCCUCCCACGAGGGGUUGAAAGCUGCGGGCUGAGUAAGUGAGGCACCCCUGUCACAAGGCUUGAGAAGGGAUCAAGGAAAAUUUCCUGUUUCAUUAUGCUUUGUUCAUGCCUAUCUCUGGACAAGCAACUAUGGCCAGGGAAAAGGGGUUGUACAAUAUGUUCAGGAGAAGAGAAGAAGCUACUCUUUUGGCCAUUUUGAACAAUAGCCAAUUCACCACACAGCAUAAUUAAUGGUUUAGAAUUUUUUCUUCUUUUAUUUUUUUCUUUCUGUAGAGACAGUAUCUCAUUGUGUUGCCCAAGCUGGUCUCGAACUCUUGGACUCAAGCAAUCAUCCUGCCUCAGCCUCCCAAAGUGCUGGGGUUAUAGGCAUGAGCCAACACGCCCUGCCUAGAAUUUCAUUUCUAUUCAUUAAAAAUACAUCAAAUGGUUUUUAUAUUACAGUAAAAUCACUAUUUCAAAUGAUUAUUCCAUAUAUUUUAUGUGCAAAAUUAAGAGCUGCCAUAUUGUCUUUAAAGGCCUGCAGGUAUAGAAAGGACUCACUGCUUUUUAUGAACACAUCUCUCCUAUUCACACCUCCAAGAGUUAUUGCUUCUUGGUAACCCUCCAUUAAGCGUUUGAUUAAGUUCAAGGUGAUUAGAUUAUUAACACUUUAGUCAUGGUCUGGUUGGCUUAUCCCCCUACCCCUCUCCAUUCUUUUAAUCACUGCUCUAUUCAUCCACUCAACAAAUAUUUAAUGAGUGCCUAUUAUAUGCCAAUUCUAUAGAUACUAAACAUAAAUAGAGAUAAAUAAAGCAUGAUCUCUGCAUUUAAGGGCUAUACCAAAGAUGGGACAUCAGACAAAUAAACAGAUUAUUAUAAUACUGUGUAAGGGCCAAGUCCCCUUCAUCCUCUGAAAGUUCACUGAAAAUCAACUGACAAAAAGUAGACUAAUACAAGAAAAAGCACACAUUCUAUUAACAUGCUAUAGGCGUCUUACAAAAUAAGAUCUCUUAAAAAGGCAAAUGAUUGACCCACUUAUGCCAUGUCGAGGUUACAGAACUAAUAGGUGUCUGGAUCAUGGCAAAACUAAUUACAGGAGGGGGAGAAGAGGAGGCCUGGCUAGCAAAGGUGAUCUUGUUCUGUGGAUGAAACCUCACAGGCCUCAGCCCUCAGAAAGAAUAGAUGGUAAAUGUUUAUUUUAGGCUUUUAAAGGUGUCAGACUCUUGGCCAAUCUUUCCUAGAUCUGACAAAGCCUGGCUGCAUCAAUGUAGAUUCUCUACAGAUGCAAAUCACCGCCUCAACACACAGUUUUACAGAGCUGCUUCUGUUUGCAGACCCUCUGAAUGUUACAGGUAGUUAGACAGGCAUGAGCUGGGCAGGAGAGGGCUCUCCUCAACCCACCAGGAAUGUCAGGUGAUGAUUCAACGAUUAGCACAUUGCUUCUCUACAGAUGAUAAUUUGGCAGCAGGCACCAGGGAGAAGCAAAAAUAACUUCCAAUAAAAUCUCAGGUAUUGGGUGAAUGAGUCUAGACACGUAGAUUAGGAGACAAAAUGGCAGAGCAUGACCUUCCGGGGGCAGUCCACCAGAAAAGAGAAGAAGACCUGAGAUGUGCCUGUGUACAACCUCCUGAAUACACUGCGUGUGCUCACUUCCCAAGCAUAAGGAGGGCACUCCACAUGCAGGCAGCCCACCCUAAGGGAAGAAUCAUGGGAAAGGGGGACGUGAGAAGCAGGAGGUCGGCCAGCCUAUAAAGUCCUGGGAUCAAGGUUAAACACCACUCUUGACCUCGAUGCCUCGUUGGGUCUCUUCCAAGUGUAUUUUUCUUUCUUUCCUGUUCUAAGGUCUUUUUAAAUAAACUUCCACUCCUCCUCUGAAACUUGCCUUUGUCUCUUUUUCUGGCUAUUCCCCUCAGUCGAAUUCUCUCUUCUGAGGAGGCAAGAGUUGAGGUUGCUGCAGACCCAUAUGGAUUCGCCACCGGUAAGUCAGAUACCUGCCAUGAGACUCAGAUAUUUGCCACCAGUAACAUGAACGGACAUUUCAAAAUAUGUCAAAGAAGUGUAUCUUGAGGGGAAGUAGAAUAUUCUCCUUCAACUGUACUGUAUGAUAAGUGCUGUGAUAGGUCUUUUCUAUUUUUCACUAGUCUCUGGGCCACAAGGAACAAUCUGUCCCUUUGCAUCUCAAAAUGCUUGCUCAUCCUACUCAGUUAGAAAUUAAAUAAUUCAAACUUAAAAUAAUUCAAAUAUAAAGCUGUUAGAACUUUUCAUUAUUCUGAGCCUUGGGAGGAAUGUGGCUAUGCAGCCUGAAUCAUGUACUCAGUAGCUACAAUUUCUGCCUUUCAUAUCUGUAAAUAAUUAGGAAGAACAAGUGGCACCAGAGAUAAGACCCCUUCAUAUCACUGCCCCUCCUCAUGGAGUAAUAAGGUAAUCUUCCUUGGAAUGUAGCAAUCUGCAACCAAUCAAAUUGCUGUGGUGUAUGCACUGGUCUUAUAUGGAAAAUGCAAUCUUGCUGGAACUUCUCUGUCUGCCUACAUAAGUGAAACCUUAACUUCUCCACUUCUGUACUCCAAAUGACUGCUGACCCCAUUCAUUUGGAGUUGGUGUUUCCAAGUGACCAUCCUAAAGCUUUGCACUAGAAAAAACUCCAUUCUGAAUCAUAUAUUUUUUUCCAAAUGGGAUCUCACUCUGUUGCCCAGGCUGGAGUGCAGUGGUAUAAUCACAGCUCACUUCAGCCUUGACUUCUCAAGCUCAAGUAAUCCUCCCACCUCAGCCUCUUGAGUAGCUGGGACUACAGGUGCCUGCCACCACACUCAGCUAAUUUUUAAAUUUUUCUGUAGAGAGGGGGUCUCACUAUGUUGCCCAGGUUUGUUUUGAACUCUUGGAUUUGAUCAGUCCUCUUACCUCAGCCUCUCAAAGUGCUGGUAUUAGAGGUAUGAGCCACCACACCUGGCCCCAAUCAUAUUCUUUGAAUCUCAUUAUUUAAGGUUAACACCAGUGAUGUCUACAUCUUUUCAAGCAGGGACUAACUUCUAUUCACAAUUAUAGAUAAGGAUUAAGGUGAAAACACCCUUGAGGACUAAGCGUUUUAAAUUCACACUGAGGUAAAAUGAGUGAUUUUAUAUCCUUUCUUGUAAGCAAGUUCCCCCACCCCUGCUCUCUGCCUGCUGUCUAGAAGAAGUAAAACCAGGAGUCCUCUGUGAAAUUACCACUAACCAGGCACCAUCUUAACGUGUUGUUAAACAUCAUCUGUUUUCCUCUGGGUACUAGCAGUCACUGAGUUCUCUCUUACUGAAAAAGCGAAGUUGCGUAUUUCAUUCACUUGCUUUUAUGAGUCCUUUGGCUCUUCUAGGCUUUCUUUUUUUGAUUUAACCAGCCCACAAACUAAAGUGAGUAUCUAUUAAUAUUUCCCCAGACCACUAUUCAAGGAAAUGAACCACUUGACAUUAAUCAUGAUGGCAGAACUCCUUGACUGACAGUCUUUUCUCAGAAUUCAUGAGGCUACAGUGCCUGUGGGUCACUGCUGUGCAAACUUUGCUAACCAAGACAUUCCCUGAGGAGUUUGUGAGCAGUUUGUUAGCAAGUCAUGUCCCUCAAGGGCUCUAAUUGAGUGGGUCUGGGGAAGGACCCAGAAAUCUGUAGUGUUACCAAACCUACCGGCUGAUUCUGGAGCUGGUGUUCCAAGGAACAAAUUUCAAAAAACCUUGCAAUAUAGGGUUUUUUUUUUUCUUAUUAAUGGGGUAAAUUUAAGUAUUUAAUUAAUGGGGUAAAUUCAUCCAUUCAUUCAAGUACUUAUCAAGCACUUUCUAUGUGCCUCCUAACUUGAUUUUUUAUUGCUAAUUAUUUUUAAUUUAAACUCCAUUGUCAAGUUUCACUUUUCUUAGGAGAGUUGCCAAGGGUGAGGCUUAUAAGAGACAAAGUGGAAUUGGCUGCGAGAGUGGUCACUUCAGCUGCAGGCGAGGAGGUGGGAGGGAUGACAUCCAGGCGGUUGGAAACCAUCUGGUAGGAAGCAAACCCAAUGAUGACCCUCACCUAAGGAACUUGGCUAUUUGUGUAAGCGUCCAGAGGGAGUGAUCCCUGGCCCCAUAACGUGCUGAGGCAAUUUCAAGAGUUACGAGAGGAUGAAGAUUUCAACAUGUGUGAUCAGAAAGUUGAAUGAGAUCUUUGUCUGGGCAGCUAGCAGGCCUUCUUCUGUUUUCUUUACUAUUAUACUGUGACUAACGAUUGGGUGUUUGGUUUUGGUUAUAACUUGAAAAUUGUUGUGAUCCAUGUGAAGUAAUGUCUUGUGAAUAUUCCACAUGGAUGCAGCCCCUACAUCGUCAGAUCUCUCCAGGUAUUUCGGAAAGAUUUUAAUCCCUCAGCUUAAACACAAGUUCCGUUUUAGGGCCAAUCCCCAGAUGGAGGAGUUAGAUGUACAUUCCUUCAAAGAGGCCCCAGCCAGCCACCCCAAGGUUUGGAGCCCGUGAGUGAGAAAGUCUGGAACUUUUGGCUGCUUGGUUUCAUUUUUUUAGUUUUCUUUUUGGGAGUGGUGGUAGAAUUUUACAAAGACUUGGUGGGGGAAGACGGGAAGAGAGCUGUCCCAGAAAGGAAGAUUUUAUACUCCAUACCAUCUUCUGACUUUCCCUUUUUAAAUGGUCUUGUGAUUUGUCUCCAGAGAAGAGUUGGGAACAGGACCUAGAAAGAAGAGGGGCAGCUUUGUUGGAAUUUAUUGCUGGUUCUGCACAGGCCCUGGCCCGGGUCCCAGGGACAUCAGGGCCCAGAGACCUCACGUGGCUUGUCCUCACCUGGCUUGCCUAGGUUUGAGGUGUUGCUCAAGACAGAGCCUUUGCUGCUGCCCCUGAACACUGCCUGCCAGCACCCCAGCCCACCACCCUGACCUCAUCACCCCGGAAAGGAGCAAGCUCAUCAAAUAGGACAGUGCUUGGGGUCUUCGCCAGUAGCUAGCACUGGCUGCUGUUUAUGAGCAUCUGUUAUACACAAGGCAGUGGAGCAUUCUCACAUUUAAUCCUCAACACAGUGCUAUCAGAGAUGGGGGUCUUGUUAUGUCACCCAGGCUGGCCUUGAACGCUUGGUCUCAAGAGAUCCUCCUGCCUCAGCCUCCUGCGUAACUGGGACUACAGGAACAUACCACCAUACCCAGUUACUUUCAAGGAUCUGAAUUCAGGUCUGUUAGUCUCCAAAUAACUGUACUUUUAACCACUACUCCUUAAGAAUUUGGUCAUUCAGGAUUAAGUUUAGCUGUAUAACCAGAAACUCCAAAUAAUAAAAGUUUAAAUUAGAUACAAAUUUAUUUUCCACUCACAUGAAGAAGUCCAGAGGUAGUCAAGUUGUGGCUAGUGAAUUCUAUUAGGGGUUCAGGCAUCUGCAGUGUUCUUGCUUUGUCCUCCUUAGCACAAUGUUUCCACCACUGGGUCCAGAGUGGCAGCCUGAGCUCAGCAAUUCCAUCUGCAUUCCAGCCAGCAGGAGUAAGGAUGAGGAGAAAGGGCAUGUUUCCUUCCUUUGGGGGCGUUUUUUAGACGAUACAUACCAAACUUCUACUUGCAUGUCAUUUGCCAUAACUUAGUCAAUGGCCAUACUAGCUGCAUGGGAAGCUAAAAAAUGUUACCUUUGUUUUGGGCAGUGAAGUGACCAGCUUAAAAUUAAGAAAUUGAUUACUAAAAAGGGAAAAAUGGUUAUCAGGAUACAACUAGUAAGCUCAACUACAACUGUUAGACCUAAGUCUGCAAUGCUAAGCCACAUAGUAAAUGAUGAAAAGUCAAAAGUAGAGACUUGAAUAUAUGAUGUAAAUUUUUCUAGGUCGCAAUUUUAUGCAUGGUUUAAUGUUUCAUUUUUGUCCAGUUGUUAAACUGUUUGCUAGAUUAACAAUAUUCAUCUUGAAUGUAAAAUGUUAUAGCCACUAUGGAAGACAGUUUGGUGGUUCCUCAAAAAGUUAAAUCUAGAAUUACCCUAUGACCCAGCAAUUUCACUCCUAGAUAUAUACCCAAGACAGCUGAAAAUAUAUGUUCACACAAAAAUGUGUACACAAAUAUUCAUAGCAGCAUUAUUCAAAAUAGACAAAAAUGUAAACAGCCCAAAUGUCCAGUAAUGAUGCAUGGAUAAACAAAAUGUGGUCGGUCCAUACAAUGAAAUAUUCAGCAAUAAAAAGGAAUGAAGUACUGAUACAUGCUAAGACACAAAUGGACCUUGAAAGCAUUAUGCUAAGUGAAAGAGGCCAGACAUAAUGGCCACAUAUUGUAUGAUUCCAUUUACAUGAAAUGUCUAGAAUAGGGAAAUCCACAGAGACAGAAAGUAGAGUAGCGAUUGCCAGGGAAUGGUGGGAAGGAGGCACAAGGGUGAGGUUUCUGUUUGGAAUGAUAAAAACGUUGUAGAAGUAGAUAGUAGUGUUGGUUGCACAACAUAAUGAGGACACUAGAAAUCACUGAAGUGGAUACUUUAAAAUGGUGAUUUUCAGCCAGGCAUGGUGGCUUACGCCUGGAAUCCCAACACUUUGGGAGGGUGAGGUGGGCGGAUCACUUGAGGUCAGGAGUUUGAAACCAGCCUGGCCAACAUGGUGAAACCCUGUCUCUACUAAAAAUAUAUAUAUUAAAAAAUUAGCCAGGCAUGGUGGCGGG
Molecule: long non-coding RNA, 7479 nt
Filed under: Homo sapiens (human)
Lineage: Eukaryota; Metazoa; Chordata; Mammalia; Primates; Hominidae
Description: HSALNT0013128
Source: RNAcentral